RNAcentral lists this ribosomal RNA (460 nucleotides) under uncultured Bacteroidota bacterium. RNAcentral describes it as "bacterial SSU rRNA". It matches the Rfam family "Bacterial small subunit ribosomal RNA", at positions 338 to 795 of the family's 1533-position model. Lineage: Bacteria; Pseudomonadati; Bacteroidota. The record is from RNAcentral.
CCUACGGGAGGCAGCAGUGAGGAAUAUUGGUCAAUGGACGCAAGUCUGAACCAGCCAUGCCGCGUGAAGGAUGAAGGCCUUCUGGGUUGUAAACUUCUUUUAUCUGGGAAGAAAAGCACUGUUUCUACGGUGUCCGACGGUACCAGAGGAAUAAGCACCGGCUAACUCCGUGCCAGCAGCCGCGGUAAUACGGAGGGUGCAAGCGUUAUCCGGAUUCACUGGGUUUAAAGGGUGUGUAGGCGGGCUAUUAAGUCAGUGGUGAAAUCUCCGAGCUUAACUUGGAAACUGCCAUUGAUACUAUUAGUCUUGAAUUCUGUUGAGGUUGGCGGAAUAUAUCAUGUAGCGGUGAAAUGCAUAGAUAUGAUAUAGAACCCCGAUUGCGAAGGCAGCUAACUAAACAGAUAUUGACGCUGAGGCACGAAAGCGUGGGGAUCAAACAGGAUUAGAUACCCCUGUAGUC